GAUGAACGCUAGCGGUGUGCUUAAAGCAUGCAAGUCGAACGUGAUCCUUGGAUUCGUUCAAGGUGAAAGUGGCGAACGGGUGAGUAACGCGUUGGUGAUCUGCCCCGGAGUGGGGGGAUAACUAUCGGAAACGAUAGCUAAUACCCCAGAUGUUAUCGUGUUUGGAAAGCGAUAACUGAAGUUCAGGCGCUCCGGGAGGAGCCUGCGUCCCAUCAGCUAGUUGGUAGAGUAAAAGCCUACCAAGGCGACGAUCGGUAGCUGGUCUGAGAGGAUGAUCAGCCACAAUGGGACUGAGACACGGCCCAUACUCCUACGGGAGGCAGCAGUGGGGAAUUUUACGCAAUGGGCGAAAGCCUGACGUAGCGACACCGCGUGAGCGAAGAAGCCCCUUGGGGUGUAAAGCUCUGUCAGCUGGAACGAAAAAAAUGACGGUACCAGCAGAGGAAGCAUCGGCUAACUACGUG
Molecule: ribosomal RNA, 464 nt
Filed under: uncultured bacterium
Lineage: Bacteria
Description: bacterial SSU rRNA
Rfam family: Bacterial small subunit ribosomal RNA
Source: RNAcentral